Long non-coding RNA from Canis lupus familiaris (dog), 2413 nucleotides. RefSeq lists it as uncharacterized. The record is from RefSeq and is a predicted model, not a curated record. The transcript is spliced from 2 exons. Lineage: Eukaryota; Metazoa; Chordata; Mammalia; Carnivora; Canidae.
GACAGACACAGGUAGCUGGACGCAGGACUCCAUCCCAGGUCUCCAGAAUCAGGCCCCAGGCCAAAGGCAGCGCUAAACCACUGAGCCACCUGGGCUACCCUGGCCCCAUUUUUCAAAUAGCAUUUGUUCACUCUGUGUCUCUGUGUCACAUUUUGGUGAUUCUUACAAUAGUUCAAAUUUUUCAUUAUAAUUCUAUUUGUUACAGUGAUCGGUGAUCUUUGAUGUUACUAUUGCACUUGUUUGGGGGCACCACAAACUGAGCCCAAAUUAAGAUCGCCAACUUAAUUGAUAAAUGUUGCUUGUGUUCUGAGUGCUCUAACAAUGGGCCAGUCUUGCAUCUCACUCCCUCCUCACAGGGCUCCCUGUUCCUUGAGGCACAAGGAUUUUGAAAUUAAGCCCAUUAAUAACCCUACAAUGGCCUCCAAGUGUUCAAGUGAAGGGAAGAGUCACACAUCUCUCACUUUAAGUCAAAAGCUAGAAACGCCUAAACUUAGUGAGGAAGGCAUGUCAAAAGCUGAGAUAGCCCAGUUAGCCAACUUGUGAAAUGAAUGCAAAGGAAAAGUUCUUGAAGGAAACUGAAAAUGCUAUUCCAGUGAACACAUGAAGGAUAAGAAAACAAAAAAACAGCCUUAUUACUGAUAUGGAGGAAGUUUCAGGAGUCUAGAUAGAAGAUCAAACCAGCCACAAUAUUCCCUUAAUCCAAAACCUAAUCCAGAGAAGGACCCUAACUCUCUUCAAUUCUGUGAAGCCUGAGAGAGGUGAGGAAGCUGCAGAAGAAAAGUUUGAAGCUAACAGAGGUUGGUUCAUGAGGUUUAAGGAAAGAAGCCAUCUCCAUAAAAUUAAAGUGCAAGGUGAAGCAGCAAGUGCUGGUGUAGAAGCUGCAAUAAGUGAUUCAGAAGAUCUAGCUAAGAUAAUUCAUGGUUACACUAAACAAUGGAUUUUCAACAUAUGUGAAACUAUUAGAAGAUGCCAUGUAGGACUUUCAUCACUAGAGUGGAGAUGCCACAGCCUGGUUUCAAAGGACAGGCUGACUCUCUGGUUUGGGGCUGAUGCAGCUGGUGACUUUAAGUUAAGCCACUGCUCACUUAUUCUGAAAACCCUGGGCCUUAAGUAUUAUGCUAAAUUCACUCUGUCUGUGCUCUGUAAAUAGAACAACAAAGCCUGAAUGACAGCACAUCUGUUUACAAUAUGGUUUACCAAAUAUUUUAAGCCCAUUGUUGAGAACUACUGCUCAGAAAAAAAUAUUCCUUUCAAAAUAUUGCUGCUCAUUGACAAACCCAAGAGAUCUGAUGGAGAUGUACAGCAAGAUUAAUGUCUAAUACAACAUUCAUUCUAUAGCCCAUGGAUCAAGGAGUAAUUUUCACUUUCAAGUCUUACUAUGUAAGAAAUACAUUUCAUAAGAUUAUAGUUGCCAGAGACAGUGAUUCUUUGAAGGAACCUGGGCAAGAUCCAUUGAAAACCUUCUAGAAAGGAUUCACCAUUAAGAACAUUCAUGACUCUUAGGAAGAAGUCAAAAUAUCAACAUGAAUGGAAUUUGGAACAAGUUGGUUGCAGCCCUCAUGGAUGACCAGGAGGGGUUCAGGACUUCAGUGGGGGCAGUAACUGCAGAUGUGGUGGAAACAGUGUGAGAACUAGAAGUGGAAUCUGAACAUGUGACUGACUGCAAACUCAUGAUAAACUUUCAUGGAUGAGGAGUUGCUGCUUAUGGAUGAGCAAAGACAGUGGUUUCCUGAGAUGGAAUCUGCUCCUGGUGAAGAUCCUGUGAAGACUGUUUAACUGACAACAAAGAUUUCGAAUAUUACGUACACUUAGUUGAUAAAGCAGCAGCUGGUUUGAGAGGACUGACUCCAAUUUUGAAACAAGUUCUACUUUGGGUAAAGUGUUAUCAAAUAGCACCACGUGCUACAGAGACAUUGUGAAAGGAAGAGUCAAUUGGUGCAGUAAACUUCAUUGCUGUCUUAUUUUAAGAAAUUGCCACAGCUGCCUCAGUCUUCAGCAACCACUCUCAACAGUCAACAGCCAUCAACAUCAAGGCAAGACUCUCCACCAGCAAAAGAUUACAACUCACUGGUAGCUCAGACGACUGGUUGGCAUUUUUUAGCAAUAAAGUAUUUUUUAAUUAAGGAUUCCAGGGCCGGCCUUCUGUCUGGCUCGGCCCGCUGCAGGCCUGGAGCUCGGCAGAGUCAAGGCUGACAGGCUAGCGAUCGGGAGCCCUUUCACCAUGACAGCCUGGGGUAUGGAAGUGAUCUGCUGCUCCCACACCUGCCCACUAAUGAUGCCAAGAUACAUUCAUCUCCCUGAGAGGGCUUUCCCGACUCUCCAGAUCAGGUCGGGCCUGGUGCGCGCUUGGAUAUGACCACAGGGUUCUCCAUGGCAUGUUUUACUCUAUGAAUAAACGAACCAUUUGAAUGAA